GUCCUGACCUGAAGGAUUUGAUCACCUGCCUUCAGGUGACUGAGCAUAAGGUACCAAUACCAGUGUUCUUAUGACAGUGCAGUAUGUAUUGACCAUCACAAGAAGCUGAGAUAAACGGCUGCACCUCCUAUUAUGGUUUGCUGAGAAAGCAGUAGAACAAAACUAGCCAGCUUGCCCGGGUAUUUGUGCUGAAACACUGCGGGAUUUUAGGUGCUCCCUGACUGUAUCUCUCAAGCUGACAGGAAUAUAAUAGAUGAAUAGUGGUACUAAACGUAGGCUGAACAACCCCUGGCACUGACCCUGAAAAGCAAAAAUAAAUUGUUUUUUAAAAUCAUCUUUAUAGACAUAUAAUUUAUAUAGAAUAAAAUUCAUAAGUUGGGAGGAUAGAUGAUUUCUGACAAAGAUGGACAGUUGUGUAAGCAUCACAAAAAUGAUAUAGAGUAUUUCUAUUACCCCCAAAAUUCCUCGCCACCUUGCCAGCAAAUACUUUUUUUCUACCUGUGGCACCUAGUAACUACUAAUCUUUCUAUCACUAUAGUUUUGCCUUUUCAAAAACGUUGUGUAAGUAGAAUUAUACAGUAAGUAGCAUUUUGAGGCUGACUUCUUUUACUUAGCAAAAUUGUUUUGAGAUUUAUCCAUGUUGUUGAGUGUAUAUUUUAUCCUCUAUAUUAUUAGUAUUCCAUUGUUAAGAUGUAGAAAAAUUUGUUGAUGCUUUCAACAGUUGAUGUUUGAAUUUCUUCCGGUUUGUGACUAUUAUAAGCUGCUAUGAACAUCUGUAUACAGGUCUUGCUGUGAUCAUUUUCUCUUAGUUAAAUAUCUGCAAGUGGAAAUGUUGGGUUGUGUAGUAAGGGUAACUUAAUAAGAAAGUGUUAAAAUGCAAAAUAGCUCUACUAUUUUAUGUUCCCAUCGGCUAUCUAUGAUAGUUCCAGGUGCUUCACAUUCUCACCAUCAUUUGGUAUUACCAGUCAUAUCUUCCUGAUAGUGUCUGUUCAAUUCUUUUACCCAUUUAUUUUAUACUGUUGUCUUACUUUCUCAACAAUUAGCUUUCUAUUCCACACACAAGUCCUUUAUUGGAUGUGUCUUUUGUAAAUAUUUUCUCCUAAGUCUGUGGCUCAUUUUUUCUUCCUUUAUUUUUUUGAGACGGAGUCUCACUGUUGCCCAGGCUGGAGUUCACUGCCAUGAUCUCGGCCCACUACAACUUCUGCCUCCCAAGUUCAAGUAGUUCUCCUGCCUCAGCCUCCCCAGUAGCUAGGAUUACAGGUGCGCACCACCGUGCCUGGCUAAUUUUGUAUUUUUGGUAGAGACAGGGUUCCACCAUGUUGGCCAGGCUGGUCUUGAACUCCUGACCUCAAGUGAUCCACUCGCCUCGGCCUCCCAAAGUGCUGGGAUUACAGGUGUGAGCCACCGUGCCCAGCCCAGUUUUUCAUUUUUUAAAUAUCUUUUAAAGAUAAGUUUUUGGAUGAAGUCCAAUUUGUUUUUCAUAGUGAGUGCUUUUUAUGUUCUAAGAAAUCUUUGCCUAACCAAGACAGAAGUUUUCUCUAAAGUGUUUUAUAGUUUUCACUGUAGCAUUUAGAUUUAUAUCAAUUUUAGUAUAUAAUGUGAGCUCAACUUUAGUAUAUAGUGUGGCCAUCACAAGAAGAUGUUGAGAUAAACCACUGCACCUCCUAUUAUGGUUUGCUGAGAAAGCAGUAGAACAAAACUAGCCAGAUUGCUCAGACAUUUGUGCUGAAUAUCUGCAGGAUGUGAGGUACUCCCUGACUGUACCUCUCAAGCUGACAGGAAUAUAAUAGAUGAAUAGUGGUACUAAAUGUAGGCUGAACAACCGCUGGCACUGACCCUGAAAAGCAAAAAUAAAUUGUUUUUAUAGUUUUUUAAUCGUUUUUUAAACUUUUAUAAAUUGUUUUUAUAGUACGUUAUACAUUAAGUAUAACAUAUAUAUGAAGCUAUAUAUGGCUGGGUGUGGUGGCUCGCCCCUGUCAUCCCAGCACUUCGGAAGGCUGAGGUAGAAGGAUCACUUGAGGUCAGAUGUUCGAGACCAGCCUGGUCAACAUGGUGAAACCCCAUCUCUACUUAAAAAAAUAAAAAUAAAAAGUUAGCCAAGUGUGGUGGUGCAUGCCUGUAAUCCCAGCUACACUAGAGGCUGAGGCAGGAGAAUCGCUUGAACCCAGAGGCAGAGGUUGCAGUGAGCUAAGAUCAUGCCACUGCACUCAGCCUGGACGACACAGCAAGACUCCAUCUAAAAAAUGAAUAAAUAAAGCUAUAUAUAUGUAUACAUAAAGCUCAAGUUAUUUUUUUUUCUUUUGCACAUGAAUGUCCACUUGAUCCAGCAACAGUUAUUGAAAAGACAUCUGUUACCCCCAAUAAAUUGCCUUGGUACAUUUAUUGAAAACCAAUUAGAGAGAAAUGUAUAGGUCUUUUUCUAGACUCAUUAAUAUAUUCCACUAAUCUGUGUCUAUCAUUUUUUGUUUCUGUCUUUAGACAGGUUCUCACUCUGUUACCCAGGCUGGAGUGCAGCAGUGCCAUCAUAGCUCAUUGCAGCCUCGAACUCUUGACCUCAAGCAAUCCUCCUACCUUGGUCUGCCAAAGAGCUGGAAUUAUAAGUGUGAGUGUCUGUGAUUGACCCCAUGUCUAUCCUUGUGGUAAUACCACAGUGUCGACUAAUGUAGUCUGAAAAUCAAGUAAUAUAAGACCUCCAUUCUUUGAAGUUAAAAUUGUUUUGACAGCCAGAUGGUGUGGUGCACACCUAUAAUCCUAGCUACUCAGGAGGCUCUACCCCAUCUCUACAGGGAGGCAGAAGGAUCACUUGAGCCCAAGAGUUCAAGGUUGCAGUGAACUAUGAUUGCACCGCUGCGUACCAACCUGGGUGACAGAGUGGGCGCCUGUUUCCAAAAACAAAAAGUAAAAAAUAUAAAAAUUUUAAUAAAUUUUAAAAAAUAUUUUGACUAUUCUUUUUGAUUUCUAUAUAAAUAUUGGAACCACCCUGUCAAUUUCUAUUUUUAAGAACCUGUUAGGAUAUUGAGAAUGCAUUGAAUCUAUCAUAAAUGUGGGUAGAAUAAUAUUUUUUUGUCUUCCAAUUCAGUAAUAUGCCAACUCUCCAUUAUUUCUGUCUUAACCACUAAGUAUGACAUUAGCCACAGGUUUUCUGUAGACAUCCUUUAUUGGGCUAAGGAAAUUCUCUCUUAUUUCUAGUUCAGGAAGAAUACUGGUCUGUAGUUUCAAGUUCUUGUAAUAGGUUUUUCUGGGUUUUUGUUAUCAGAGUAAUGCUGGAAUCAUAAAUUAAGUUGGGAAAUGUCCCAUCCUGUUCUAUUUGAUAAAAGAGUUUGUAUAAACUUGGUAUUCUCUCUUAAUGUUUGGUAGAGUUUGCCAUAGAACCCUUCCAGGCUAAGAAUUUUUCUGGGUAAGAAGGUAUUUAACAAUUUCUUUUAAGAGAUAAAAGGCUGUUUUCCAGUUCUGUAUAAUCUUGCGUGAGCUCUGGCACCUGUGUCUUUCAAAGAAUUAUCUAUUUCAUCUAAGUUGCCAAAUGUAUUGGUCUCAUCUACGUAUAUUUUCUUAUUAUUUUGAUACCUAUAAAAUUUGUGGUGAUAUCCCCUCAUUCAUUCCAGGUAUUAGUUGUUUAAGCCUUCCCUCAUUUUCUGGUGUAACUGGAUAGACAUUUUUCAAUUGCACUAAUCUUUAACUAAAUCAGCUUUGAUUCUAUUUAUUUUGCUUUCUCCAUCAUUAAUUUCUGCUAUUAUCUUUACAUUCCAUCUGCAUAAUUUGCUCAUUUUCUAAUUUCUGAGAGAAACUUAGAUAAUUAAAAAUUUUUAUUUCCUAAAAUGAACAUAGGCAUUGCUUUAGCUACAUCCCAUGAAUUUUUUUCUUUCCAUUCAUAUUUCCUAUUUGACUCAUGGAUUAUUUUAAACUGUUUUUUGGCCAGGCACAGUGGCGCAUGCCUGUAAUCCCAGCACUUUGGGAGGCCAAGGUGGGUGGAUCACCUGAGGUCAGGAAUUCGAGACCAGCCUGGCCAACAUGGCCCGUCUCUACUAAAAAUACAAAGAUUAGCCAGGUGUGGUGGCACACACCUAUAGUCCCAGCUACUCGGGAGGCUGAGGCAAGAGAAUUGCUUGAACUCAGGGGGCAGAGGUUGCAGUGAGCUGAGAUUGUGACACAGCACUCCAGCCUGGGUGACUCCAUCUCAAAAAAUAAUAAUAAAAUAUGAUUUUUAUGGCUUGGCACAGUGGUUCACACCUGUAAUCCCAGCACUUUGGGAGGUCAGAGCAGGCAGAACGCUUGAGCUCAGGAGGUUGAGACCAGCCUGGGAAACAUGGGGAGACCCCAUCUAUACAAUAAGUACAGAAAUUAGCCAGGCAUAGUGGCAUAUGCUUGUAGUCCCAGCUACUCAGGAGGGUGACCUGAGCCCAGCAGAUCAAGGCUGCAGUGACCCAUGACUGCAUCACUACACUCCGGCCUGGGCAACACAGGGAGACCGUCUUGGGGGGAAAAAAGUUGUUUAACAUCAGAAUGUCAGACAUUCAUCCAGAUAAUUUUGUUAUUAAUUUUCAUUAAUUUUGGUGUGAUCAGAUAAAAUACUUUAAAUAAUUUCGGCCUUCUUGAAUUUGAGACUUGUUUUAUGGCCCAGCAUAUUAGGUCUUUCUUCAUGAACAUUCCAUGUAAGCUUGAAAUGAAUGUGUGUUCUAUUGUUUGGCUAAACGAAUUAUGUCAAUUAGAUUAAGUUGUUAAAGUGUUCAGGUCUUCUAGACCCUAAUUUUCUUUCAAAUCAUCAAUUAUAAGACUUUUUGAAAUAUCCCACCCACUGUGACUAUAGAUUUGUCUAAUUCUCUUUUCCAUUCUAUCAGAUUUUAAUUUAUGUGUUUUGAAGCUCUUUUAUUAGGUAUGUAAGAGUUAAAAUUCUUAUUUCCUCAUGAUGAGUUAAUGAGAUUGCCAACAUGAAAUGUCCUCCAUUAUUCCUGGUAAUAUUUGUUGAUCUUGAAUUAUAUUUCAUGGAACUAAUAUAGCCCCCUCCAGCAUUCUUUGGAUUAAUGUUGGCAUAUAAUUAGGUAUUCCUUUUUUAUCCAAUCUGAUAAUAUCUACCUUUUGUGAUGUUUAGACCAUUUUCAGAAAUAUAAAUAAGGUUGGAUUAAAAUCUUACCUGCUUCAUAGUUGAUCUCAUGAACUUUGUUCUUUCCUUUUCUUACUAUUUUUGGAGUCAUUAAGUUCUGUCUUUUUAAAAUUAUUCCUGGCCGGGCGUGGUGGCUCACGCCUGUAAUCCCAGCACUUUGAGAGGCCGAGGGGGGCAGAUCACGAGGUCAGCCUGACCAACAUGGUGAAACCCCAUCUCUACUAAAAAUACAAAAAAAUUAGCCUGGCGUGGUGGCACACGCCUGUAAUCCC
This 5370-nucleotide long non-coding RNA is filed under the name Homo sapiens (human). Its description in RNAcentral is "HSALNT0029641". Lineage: Eukaryota; Metazoa; Chordata; Mammalia; Primates; Hominidae. The record is from RNAcentral.